Molecule: unclassified non-coding RNA, 761 nt
Filed under: Hevea brasiliensis (rubber tree)
Lineage: Eukaryota; Viridiplantae; Streptophyta; Magnoliopsida; Malpighiales; Euphorbiaceae
Source: RNAcentral
UGGGGGGAGAAGGUUUGGGGAAGGCUGGUGGACAUUUGUUGGAUAGCAGAUGAAAGGUAAUGUUAUUGAAUCUCACAUUAGAAAGAGGCCAAAGUAAGGAAUUUACAUGUGGGAAAAAUUGAUAGAACUGUUGCCUUAAGGCUUUUGGUUGACUGUGGUGUGAAAACACACACACACCACGCACAUAUAUGGAUCUCGCACAGGCUGUGCGAAAUCUCCCUUGUUUUGGGCUUCCCCCUAGUCAUAACAGGGUUAAGGGAGGGAAAGUGUUUCCCUUGUGUAGCUUAGCCAUUUGAUAAAAGGGGAAGAAAAGAGAAGAUUCUAAAAUAAAAAGGGAAGAUGCAUGGAAACGCUAUUUGCUGUAUACAGACCUUUAAAAAAAUUUGUGGAGGCGUUAACGAGUCAUUCUUCUUUUUAACUUCAUUUCCAAGCACAUUCCUUUUAAAGCAUUUUUUUUUUCUUGACUAUGCCUGGGUGCAUGUGCUUGAGAUAUAUUAAAAUCCAUAAAUAAUUUAGUACCGCAAUUUUCAUCCUUCAACAGUUAAGCUAGCUAGCAUUAAUGUUGUUUGAAUGGAAAGUGAAUGUAGAUAUCAUUAGAGCAGGCUGCUCUGGAGAACUGUUGUCAUAUAGCUAUAAAUUAAUUGUGGUAACUUUCAGUAUCCCUUGUUGGCCACGAAGUCUAAAUAUUGUCUUGUCUUCAAGCUACACAUGGUUGUUGAUGGUAGCUUUACUCAAUAUUCACACUGUUGAGACACCUUAUG